GUGCUUGCUUUGGCAGCACAUACACUAAAAUUGGAACGAUACAGAGAAGAAUAGCGUGGCCCCUGCAUAAGGAUGACACGCAAAUAUGUGAAGUGUUCUGUAUUUUU
This is a small nuclear RNA of Cervus elaphus (red deer), 107 nucleotides long. The record is from RefSeq and is a predicted model, not a curated record. NCBI's taxonomy places the organism in Eukaryota, Metazoa, Chordata, Mammalia, Artiodactyla, Cervidae.